GCAAGUCGAGGGGUAACAGGAAAGAGCUUGCUUUUUCGCUGACGACCGGCGCACGGGUGCGUAACGCGUAUACAAUCUGCCUUGCACUAAGGGAUAGCCCAGAGAAAUUUGGAUUAAUACCUUAUGGUUUAUUGAGGUGGCAUCAUUUUAAUAAUAAAGAUUACGGUGUAAGAUGAGUAUGCGUACCAUUAGUUAGUUGGUAAGGUAACGGCUUACCAAGACUACGAUGGUUAGGGGCCCUGAGAGGGGGAUC
RNAcentral lists this ribosomal RNA (253 nucleotides) under uncultured bacterium. RNAcentral's name for it is "partial 16S ribosomal RNA". It matches the Rfam family "Bacterial small subunit ribosomal RNA", at positions 57 to 305 of the family's 1533-position model. The record is from RNAcentral.